Molecule: long non-coding RNA, 1999 nt
Filed under: Anthonomus grandis grandis
Lineage: Eukaryota; Metazoa; Arthropoda; Insecta; Coleoptera; Curculionidae
Description: uncharacterized LOC126735289
Source: RNAcentral
UUCAGUGCACGCAACAGUUCCAUAAGGUGAUUUUGUGUUUUUUUAUGCUGUAAAAUGCCACGAACUUUCGUCAGAAAAUCAACUAGAGGCGAAUGGACUGAAGAAGACCUUAGAGCAGCUGCAAAUGCUUUACGUCAGCAGCCAACCCAGAGUGCAAAUGCGAUUGCUAAAGAAUAUAGAAUCCCUCUACGAACCUUGAUGAGACGUAUAAAGAAUAAAAAUCUUGAAAAGGGAAGUCUUGGACCAACCGCGUCGUUAGGUAUUAAAAAUCAACUUAAACUGGUUUCUUAUAUAAAACGUUUAGAACAAAUUGACUAUGCUUUAACUUCAAGAGACGUAAGACACCUUGCUUUUACCUUUGCUCAAAGGAAUGGGUUAAAAUGUCGAUUUAACCAACAGAAUUAGCAGACUACGAUUGGUUUAAACUUUUUUUAAAACGACACCCAACCCUAACCAUGAGAGUAACUCAAGGUCGUUCAAUUGCACGUUCACUUGGUAUGUCUGCCGCAGAAGUAGAUCCAUACUUCCAAAUAUUAAACGAUACAUUUACGACGCUCAAUUUGUUUGAUAAACCGGCACAAAUUUUCAAUAUGAACGAGAGUGGCUUGCAAUUAUGGAAUAAAUCUACCAAAGUCGUGGCCACAAAAGGAGCUAGAGAUGUACAGUCAGUCACAAGCUUAGAAAAAGGAGAAAUAGUUAGCGUCAUCGCUUGUUGUAAUGCAGAAGGUAGCUUUUUGCCUCCCUACGUAAUAUUUAAAGGCAAAAACAAAUGCAAAAACAUGCCUUCUGCCUCGUUUUUUUUGCCUCGUAAGGGACUAGGCCCUGCAGUACUGAUAUUAGAUGGCCAUGCUUCGCAUUGUAAUGACGUGGAUCUUUUGGACUUUUUGGCUGAAAAUUAAAUUGCUGUAGUUUGUUUACCAAGUCACAUGACUCACUGGCUUCAGCCUCUAGACCGUUCAUUUUUCAAACCUUUAAAGACCUACUGGAAUAGCGCAUGUAACCAGUGGAUAAGAAAUCAUCCAGGACGUUGAAUAACCAGGUAUCAGUUUGGAGAACUAUUAAACCAAGCGUGGUCUCAAGCCGCAACGGUUCAGAAUGGUGUUUCUGGAUUUCGGGCUUGUGGAAUUUAUCCAUGCUCCAAAGAUGCAAUUCCGCACUAUGCAUAUGCUUUAGCUGAACACCAAACUGGAAAUCCACAGAAAGAAGUGGUACAUGUCGAUGCAGAAAACUCUGACGAACAUAGCGGCGUCGUAGCUGUUGUAAAUUUUGAUGAUAUUGCUCCAAUUCCAUCCAUAGCUGGUCCUAGUGGAUCAACCGUUAGAAAACAACACGCAGAAGUCCUUACUUCUCCUGACUACUGCCAAAAAAAACACCAAAAAAUUGAAGGAACACAAAAAGAAGCAACAAGGGAAGGCAAGUAAAUUAGAGAAAAAAAAACGUGCGAUCCUUGCGCAAAAAUCAGUAAAUAAAACAAUAAAAACGUUAACCUUGGUGUAAGAUGGCAUUUUAGCUGGGGUAUGAUGGCCAAUACAAUGUAUUCUACCUAUGGCAUCACAUCCCCAAAUUUGUCAUCUUACCCCAAGUCUAUCGGCAUCUUACCCCUUAGUUGGGGUAAGUUGCCAAAAUGACAGCUGUCAAUGUUUUUCUAACUUUUACGUUUACUUUUAAAAAAAUAAACACUUUUUGGUGUUUCAUAAUUUGUUUAUUGUAUUUGUAAUAAAAUACCCAGUUUUUGUAACUUUUGAAUAAAGUAAUCUUUUUUUUUUUGUAUUUUUAAAAAAAUAUUACUCGUCUUCCCCCCAAUUACCUUAUAUUAGAUACACGUUUUAUGACUUGAUAGUAAAGAAUUAAGAUUCACUUGUCAGUUGUCACCUCUGGCAAAGAGAAGCCAUUGACAGUUGGCAUUUCGCCAACAGUGUUGCAACGUCUAGGCGCAUUUGUUACCUAAUAUAACUUAAAAAUAUUUACUCUAAAUAAAAUUUAAUUUAUAGAAUUUUAA